This 506-nucleotide ribosomal RNA is filed under the name uncultured bacterium. RNAcentral's name for it is "partial 16S ribosomal RNA". It matches the Rfam family "Bacterial small subunit ribosomal RNA", at positions 899 to 1397 of the family's 1533-position model. The record is from RNAcentral.
ACUCAAAUGAAUUGACGGGGGCCCGCACAAGCGGUGGAGCAUGUGGUUUAAUACGUCACUAACCGUAGAACCUUACCCAGGCUUGACAUCUGGUGUAAGUCCAUGAAAGUGGUACCCCUGUAUAGCAAUAUACAGCACCAAGACAGGUGUUGCAUGGCUGUCGUCAGCUCGUGUCGUGAGAUGUUGGGUUAAGUCCCGCAACGAGCGCAACCCUCAUCCGAUGUUGCCAGCGUGAAAGACGGGAACUCUUCGGAAACUGCCCGUGUAAGCGGGAGGAAGGUGGGGAUGACGUCAAGUCAGCAUGGCCCUUACGCCUGGGGCUACACACAUGCUACAAUGGACGUGAACAAAGGGCAGCAAUACCGCGAGGUGGAGCUAAUCUCAAAAAUACGUCCUCAGUUCGGAUUGCAGUCUGCAACUCGACUGCAUGAAGUCGGAAUCGCUAGUAACCGCAGGUCAGCUAAACUGCGGUGAAUACGUUCCCGGGCCUUGUACACACCGCCCGU